Molecule: long non-coding RNA, 852 nt
Filed under: Zostera marina
Lineage: Eukaryota; Viridiplantae; Streptophyta; Magnoliopsida; Alismatales; Zosteraceae
Description: long non-coding RNA (ZMAR_LNC000965)
Source: RNAcentral
UAUAUUUCUAAAAUAAUUCUCAUUCCUACCUAAAUCCUCAAUCCCUAAUCGUCUCCCCCCUUAUCUUCUCCAAAUCGUUAAUUCCUCACUCCCUGCACUCCACCGGAACUCAACUCACCGAAUCGGAGCCACUGGUAUCGUUUUUAUUGUACGGUAAUAUUUCUAAUCACAGCAUCUUAAAUCAGUAUCAAAUGCUUAUUGAUCACACUCUCACUUGAAGAUCUGUAGCUUCGACGACGAUUUCGAGGAAAUAGGUUUGUGGUUUUCGAGGAAACUGGUGUCGGAUUUGUGAUUUUCUUCGUAGUCGGUUUCUGAUUGUUAUAUUUGAUUUCUUUUUUUAUUCACAGGAUUUUUUUAUCGGAGAUGGAUGUCAGAUUAGCUAGUAGUUAGUUAUUUAAAUUCGAUUUUUAUGGAUUUCAUUAUUUUGUUAUCCAUAAUUGAUGAUUUGAUGAUGUGAGACUUGACUAAUCUUUAGUAAAGUAAAUGAGUGUAAGAUCAAAUCAAGAAUUGAAUUAUCAAAACCAAUAUUAACAAAAUAAUUAAUCUAUUUAUAACACUUCUAAUAACUACUUAACUAGUUUUGUAACUAUAUAACUAUAGUUAAUACAAAAACAAUAGUUAACUACAUAUAGUCAUAUAGUGUUUAACACUCCUCCUUAAGUGUUGCUUUUGUAUGAAAAAAAUGUAGUCAUCUUAUUCAAGCUUUUUCAUGCGACCAGGCGAUGCCUGAGGUCGCAUAUGCGAGCGCCUGGUCGCAUAUGUUACCCAAUAUGCGACAUUUAUUUUUUUAUUUUUUUUUAUUUUUUUUUCAAUAUACCCUUUGUAUUUUUUAUAUUUUAAAUAAAUCCCUGA